CAGGCCUAACACAUGCAAGUCGAGCGGAAACGAGUUAUCUGAACCUUCGGGGAACGAUAAUGGCGUCGAGCGGCGGACGGGUGAGUAAUGCCUAGGAAAUUGCCCUGAUGUGGGGGAUAACCAUUGGAAACGAUGGCUAAUACCGCAUAACGCCUACGGGCCAAAGAGGGGGACCUUCGGGCCUCUCGUGUCAGGAUAUGCCUAGGUGGGAUUAGCUAGUUGGUGAGGUAAGGGCUCACCAAGGCGACGAUCCCUAGCUGGUCUGAGAGGAUGAUCAGCCACACUGGAACUGAGACACGGUCCAGACUCCUACGGGAGGCAGCAGUGGGGAAUAUUGCACAAUGGGCGCAAGCCUGAUGCAGCCAUGCCGCGUGUGUGAAGAAGGCCUUCGGGUUGUAAAGCACUUUCAGUCGUGAGGAAGGCAGUAUCGUUAAUAGCGGUAUUGUUUGACGUUAGCGACAGAAGAAGCACCGGCUAACUCCGUGCCAGCAGCCGCGGUAAUACGGAGGGUGCGAGCGUUAAUCGGAAUUACUGGGCGUAAAGCGCAUGCAGGUGGUUUGUUAAGUCAGAUGUGAAAGCCCGGGGCUCAACCUCGGAAUAGCAUUUGAAACUGGCAGACUAGAGUACUGUAGAGGGGGGUAGAAUUUCAGGUGUAGCGGUGAAAUGCGUAGAGAUCUGAAGGAAUACCGGUGGCGAAGGCGGCCCCCUGGACAGAUACUGACACUCAGAUGCGAAAGCGUGGGGAGCAAA
Molecule: ribosomal RNA, 750 nt
Filed under: uncultured bacterium
Lineage: Bacteria
Description: bacterial SSU rRNA
Rfam family: Bacterial small subunit ribosomal RNA
Source: RNAcentral